Molecule: ribosomal RNA, 499 nt
Filed under: uncultured bacterium
Lineage: Bacteria
Description: partial 16S ribosomal RNA
Rfam family: Bacterial small subunit ribosomal RNA
Source: RNAcentral
ACUCAAAGGAAUAGACGGGAGCCCGCACAAGCGGUGGAUUAUGUGGUUUAAUUCGAAGCAACGCGCAGAACCUUACCUAGGUUUGACAUCCUUUGACAACUAGAGAGAUCUAGCUUUUGUAGCAAUACAACAAAGUGACAGGUGCUGCAUGGCUGUCGUCAGCUCGUGUGGUGGCAUGUCGGGUUAAGUCCCUCAACGAGCGCAACCCCUAUCUUUAGUUGCCAGCAUUAAGUUGGGCACUCUAGAGAGACUGCCGUGGUUAACACGGAGGAAGGCGGGGAUGACGUCAAGUCCUCAUGGCCCUUACAUCUAGGGCGACACACGUAAUACAAUGGUCGAUACAGAGGGAUGCGAAAUGGUGACAUGGAGCAAAUCUCAAAAAGUCGAUCUCAGUUCGGAUUAGAGUCUGCAACUCGACUCUAUGAAGGUGGAAUCGCUAGUAAUCGCGGAUCAGCACGCCGCGGUGAAUACGUUCCCGGGCUUUGCACACACCGCCCGU